Molecule: non-coding RNA, 143 nt
Organism: Cavia porcellus (domestic guinea pig)
Lineage: Eukaryota; Metazoa; Chordata; Mammalia; Rodentia; Caviidae
Source: Rfam
ACCCCCUGAAAAUAGGGAAACAGACACCUCAUUGGUGGUGUUGUUCUUAUAUCAGUCAGGGAAGAGCAGAUGACAGUCCUUUGUUCAUCCUAGCUUGAUGCCUGGGUUGAUGGCUAAAGCUGUUUCAUGCCUAAGGCUUGCGC